GAUGAACGCUGGCGGCGUGCCUAAUACAUGCAAGUCGAGCGAACAGACGAGGAGCUUGCUCCUCUGACGUUAGCGGCGGACGGGUGAGUAACACGUGGAUAACCUACCUAUAAGACUGGGAUAACUUCGGGAAACCGGAGCUAAUACCGGAUAAUAUAUUGAACCGCAUGGUUCAAUAGUGAAAGACGGUUUUGCUGUAACUUAUAGAUGGAUCCGCGCCGCAUUAGCUAGUUGGUAAGGUAACGGCUUACCAAGGCAACGAUGCGUAGCCGACCUGAGAGGGUGAUCGGCCACACUAGAACUGAGACACGGUCCAGACUCCUACGGGAAGCAGCAGUAGGGAAUCUUACGCAAUGGACGAAAGCCUGACGGAGCAACGCCGCGUGAGUGAUGAAGGUCUUCGGAUCGUAAAACUCUGUUAUUAGGGAAGAACAAAUGUGUAAGUAACUAUGCACGUCUUGACGGUACCUAAUCAGAAAGCCACGGCUAACUACGUG
RNAcentral lists this ribosomal RNA (497 nucleotides) under uncultured bacterium. RNAcentral describes it as "partial 16S ribosomal RNA". It matches the Rfam family "Bacterial small subunit ribosomal RNA", at positions 28 to 507 of the family's 1533-position model. The record is from RNAcentral.